AUUUAGAAAUAUAUAUAUAUAGUAAAUAAUUAACCUGAAGAUAAACGAUGCUGACUGACCAAAGCCUGUGACCAAACUGACACCAGUCCUGGAAAGUUGUUAUCUAUAUAGGAACAUGUGUUAAUCAUUUAGAAUAGUUAUUUAGAAAUGUCAUUGGUCAUACUAAUGUUUAAUUUGCUGAUAUACCAUGAAAACAUAACAGAAAAGAUCCCA
RNAcentral lists this long non-coding RNA (213 nucleotides) under Mytilus galloprovincialis (Mediterranean mussel). Lineage: Eukaryota; Metazoa; Mollusca; Bivalvia; Mytilida; Mytilidae. The record is from RNAcentral.